UGGGGAAUUUUGGACAAUGGGCGCAAGCCUGAUCCAGCCAUGCCGCGUGCAGGAUGAAGGCCCUCGGGUUGUAAACUGCUUUUGUACGGAACGAAAAGCCUCUUUCUAAUAAAGAGGGGUGAUGACGGUACCGUAAGAAUAAGCACCGGCUAACUACGUGCCAGCAGCCGCGGUAAUACGUAGGGUGCGAGCGUUAAUCGGAAUUACUGGGCGUAAAGCGUGCGCAGGCGGUCGUGCAAGACAGUGGUGAAAUCCCCGGGCUCAACCUGGGAACUGCCAUUGUGACUGCAAGGCUGGAGUACGGCAGAGGGGGAUGGAAUUCCGCGUGUAGCAGUGAAAUGCGUAGAUAUGCGGAGGAACACCGAUGGCGAAGGCAGUCCCCUGGGCCUGUACUGACGCUCAUGCACGAAAGCGUGGGGAGCAAACA
Molecule: ribosomal RNA, 427 nt
Filed under: uncultured bacterium
Lineage: Bacteria
Description: bacterial SSU rRNA
Rfam family: Bacterial small subunit ribosomal RNA
Source: RNAcentral